This 253-nucleotide ribosomal RNA is filed under the name uncultured bacterium. RNAcentral describes it as "partial 16S ribosomal RNA". It matches the Rfam family "Bacterial small subunit ribosomal RNA", at positions 524 to 776 of the family's 1533-position model. The record is from RNAcentral.
UACGGAGGGUGCGAGCGUUAAUCGGAAUUACUGGGCGUAAAGGGUGCGUAGGUGGUUAAUUAAGUUAUCUGUGAAAUCCCUGGGCUCAACCUGGGCAGGUCAGAUAAUACUGUUUAACUCGAGUAUGGGAGAGGGUAGUGGAAUUUCCGGUGUAGCGGUGAAAUGCGUAGAGAUCGGAAGGAACACCAGUGGCGAAGGCAGCCCCCUGGGUCGACACUGACGCUCAUGCACGAAAGCGUGGGGAGCAAACAGG